Molecule: ribosomal RNA, 253 nt
Filed under: uncultured bacterium
Lineage: Bacteria
Description: partial 16S ribosomal RNA
Rfam family: Bacterial small subunit ribosomal RNA
Source: RNAcentral
UACGGCGGGGACUAGCGUUGUUGGGAAUUACUGGGCGUAAAGCGCGCGUAGGCGGAUUUGUCAGUCGGGGGUGAAAUCCCGGGGCUCAACCUCGGAACUGCCUUCGAUACUGCAAAUCUCGAGUCCGGAAGAGGUGAGUGGAAUUCCUAGUGUAGAGGUGAAAGUCGUAGAUAUUAGGAAGAACACCAGUGGCGAAGGCGGCUCACUGGUCCGGUACUGACGCUGAGGCGCGAAAGCGUGGGGAGCAAACAGG